UUAAAGAUUUAUUUAUUUAUUAUAUGUAAGUACACUGUAGCUGUCUUCAGACACACCAGAAGAGGGCAUCGGAUCUCUUUACAGAUGGUUGUGAGCCACCAUGUGGUUGCUGGGAAUUGAACUCAUGACCUCUGGAAGAGCAGUCGGGGGCUCUUAACCACUGAGCCAUCUCUCCAGCCCCUGGUAUUCUACUUUUACUUAGUGUACACUGAUCUAAUGCACUUACUUCUGCUUCCUUAAUUUUACUGCAAGUGUUUUAGCCACUUGCUUUCAAUGGCAAAGAAAAUAGAAUCUGGUACAGAUGAUGGUGCUGUCUGGAUCAUUUCUACUUACAUAGGCCAUGCUCCGAUGGCUUGACUUUUAGAAACUGUGAAGCCUGAGGGAGGAACAGCAGCCAGGGCUAGGGACAGCUCAGUGGUAGCUCUGGUCCAGCAUGUGCAAGGAAGGUCCUGAGUUCAACCUCCAUCAUCUCAAGAGAGAAAGAGGAAGAAGAAAAGGAGAAAGAAAGGGAGAGGGGAGAGGAGGAGGAGGCAGUCUCCCUCACACUCCUCAGUUCACACUCCUCAUCCCUCACACACCUCUGGUCAUUAUUGCAUCACUCCCAGGGCUAUUCUGGGCUGAUACUGGGGAGCUCCUUCAGCUCUGUCCUCAUACUGUGCUAGUGACGGUUCUGGUGACAGGCCAGAUGGCCAACCCAGAGCCUUCAGCCUGGUGUGAUUGCUCAUGAGGGGAGUAGGGAGUGCCCAUGCCUGAACUGAAGCAUAGGGAGAAGGUGGAUCCAGAACACAUUCCCCAAGGAACCUGCCCAGGCGCAUGUGUGGGCAGCUCAGCCCCCUCUCUCUCUUUCAGCCUGACAAGGCCAGGACUUCCGGCUACUUCAAACGCGUGCCUUGUAUGCACCCUGGAUAUCAGAAGACAAGAUUUCUCUAACAGCCUUGGCUGUCCUAGAAGUCACUCUGUAGACCAGCUGGCCUCACUCAGAGAAAUCUGCCUGCCUCUGCCUCCGUGGGAUCAAAGGUGAAUCUGCAUGCUGACCAUUCCUGACUGCUCCUUCUGCACACCUAGCCAACAGCAAAAAGCUCCUCUCACUGAAUAACACUAUGGCGUCACUCUAAUUCAUCUCUCUCAGAUAAUGGGGCUUGUAUCCAAAUACUAUGAAGACAGAGCUUCAUGUGCAUGUGCAGUGUACAGCGUCCACAGAGUCAGCGAACCCUGGAUCACCUGGAGCUGAAGUUACCUUGAGUGCUAGGAACCAAGCCUGGGUCUGCCACAAGAGUGCUAACCACUGAGCCAUCUCCCCAGUCUCCACACUCAGAUGAUUUUUAAAGAAUCUAAUACCAUAUAUUAAAAAAAAUAAAAUGCAGGGGCUGGAGAGAUGGCUCAGUAGUUAAAAGCACUGACUGCUCUUCCAGAGUCCUGGGUUCCAAUCCCAGCAACCACAUGGUGGCUCACAACCAUCUGAUGCCCUCUUCUGGUGUGUCUGAAGCCAGCUACAGUGUACUUAUAUAUAAUAAAUAAAUCUUUUUAAAAAUGAA
Non-coding RNA from Rattus norvegicus (Norway rat), 1535 nucleotides. The record is from RefSeq and is a predicted model, not a curated record. Lineage: Eukaryota; Metazoa; Chordata; Mammalia; Rodentia; Muridae.